GAGGGAAAGGCGAAAAGAACCCCUGUGAGGGGAGUGAAAUAGAACCUGAAACCGUGUACGUACAAGCAGUAGGAGCAGGCUUUGUCCUGUGACUGCGUACCUUUUGUAUAAUGGGUCAGCGACUUAUAUUCAGUGGCAAGGUUAACCAUCUAGGGGAGCCGUAGGGAAACCGAGUCUUAACUGGGCGUUCAGUCUCUGGAUAUAGACCCGAAACCAGGUGAUCUAGCCAUGGGCAGGUUGAAGGUUGAGUAACAUCAACUGGAGGACCGAACCGACUAAUGUUGAAAAAUUAGCGGAUGACUUGUGGCUAGGGGUGAAAGGCCAAUCAAACCUGGAGAUAGCUGGUUCUCCCCGAAAGCUAUUUAGGUAGCGCCUCGGACGAAUACUACUGGGGGUAGAGCACUGUUAAGGCUAGGGGGUCAUCCCGACUUACCAACCCUUUGCAAACUCCGAAUACCAGUAAGUACUAUCCGGGAGACACACGGCGGGUGCUAACGUCCGUCGUGGAGAGGGAAACAACCCAGACCGCCAGCUAAGGUCCCAAAUUACUACUAAGUGGGAAACGAUGUGGGAAGGCUCAGACAGCCAGGAUGUUGGCUUAGAAGCAGCCAUCAUUUAAAGAAAGCGUAAUAGCUCACUGGUCGAGUCGGCCUGCGCGGAAGAUGUAACGGGGCUAAGUAGUAAACCGAAGCUGCGGCAAUAUACUUUUGUAUAUUGGGUAGGGGAGCGUUCUGUAAGCGGUUGAAGGUGUGUGGUAACGCAUGCUGGACGUAUCAGAAGUGCGAAUGCUGACAUGAGUAACGAUAAAGGGGGUGAAAAACCUCCUCGCCGGAAGACCAAGGGUUCCUGUCCAACGUUAAUCGGGGCAGGGUAAGUCGACCCCUAAGGCGAGGCCGAAAGGCGUAGUCGAUGGGAAACGGGUUAAUAUUCCCGUACUUCUUACAAUUGCGAUGGGGGGACGGAGAAGGCUAGGUGGGCCUGGCGACGGUUGUCCAGGUUCAAGUGCGUAGGCUUAAGAGUUAGGUAAAUCCGGCUCUUUCUAAGGCUGAGACACGACGUCGAGCUGCUACGGCAGUGAAGUCAUUGAUGCCAUGCUUCCAGGAAAAGCCUCUAAGCUUCAGAUUGUAAGGAAUCGUACCCCAAACCGACACAGGUGGUCGGGUAGAGAAUACCAAGGCGCUUGAGAGAACUCGGGUGAAGGAACUAGGCAAAAUGGUACCGUAACUUCGGGAGAAGGUACGCUCUUGAUGGUGAAGUCCCUUGCGGAUGGAGCUGACGAGAGUCGCAGAUACCAGGUGGCUGCAACUGUUUAUUAAAAACACAGCACUGUGCAAAAUCGUAAGAUGACGUAUACGGUGUGACGCCUGCCCGGUGCCGGAAGGUUAAUUGAUGGGGUUAGACUUCGGUCGAAGCUCUUGAUCGAAGCCCCGGUAAACGGCGGCCGUAACUAUAACGGUCCUAAGGUAGCGAAAUUCCUUGUCGGGUAAG
Molecule: ribosomal RNA, 1488 nt
Filed under: Vibrio parahaemolyticus
Lineage: Bacteria; Pseudomonadati; Pseudomonadota; Gammaproteobacteria; Vibrionales; Vibrionaceae
Description: partial 23S ribosomal RNA
Rfam family: Bacterial large subunit ribosomal RNA
Source: RNAcentral